Long non-coding RNA from Melanotaenia boesemani (Boeseman's rainbowfish), 236 nucleotides. RefSeq lists it as uncharacterized. The record is from RefSeq and is a predicted model, not a curated record. Lineage: Eukaryota; Metazoa; Chordata; Actinopteri; Atheriniformes; Melanotaeniidae. The transcript is spliced from 3 exons.
GGAUUUCUGAAGUCACACAGUGGAUGGAGAGCAAUGAAAGUUGGAACAGGAUGGGGGAUUUGUUUGAGGGACAAAAAAAAAUGAGAAGAAGGAGAGGCGGUGGCAAGAAAUAGAGUGAGGUGUGAAGCAAAAGGAUGAGAAGGAGGUAAAGCGAAAGUAGGACGGGAGAUAUUCCAUAGGACAGUCUCCAGGUGCAGCCCAAACACACGGGAUGGAUUUGAUAGAAGCUGCUUUUG